AUACGUAGGGGGCAAGCGUUGUCCGGAAUUACUGGGCGUAAAGGGUACGCAGGCGGCUUUGUAAGUCAGAUGUGAAAGACUAUGGCUUAACUGUGGUAAGCAUUUGAAACUACAGAGCUUGAGUACAGGAUGGGAGAGUGGAAUUCCUAGUGUAGCGGUGAAAUGCGUAGAUAUUAGGAGGAAUACCAGUGGCGAAGGCGACUCUCUGGACUGUAACUGACGCUGAGGUACGAAAGCAUGGGGAGCAAACAGGAUUAGAUACCCUGGUAGUCCAUGCUAUAAACGAUGAGUGCUAGGUGUUGGGAGGGACACCUCUCGGUGCCGAAGUUAACACAUUAAGCACUCCGCCUGGGGAGUACGGUCGCAAGACUGAA
This 374-nucleotide ribosomal RNA is filed under the name uncultured bacterium. RNAcentral describes it as "bacterial SSU rRNA". It matches the Rfam family "Bacterial small subunit ribosomal RNA", at positions 523 to 898 of the family's 1533-position model. The record is from RNAcentral.